This 2042-nucleotide ribosomal RNA is filed under the name termite gut metagenome. Its description in RNAcentral is "bacterial LSU rRNA". It matches the Rfam family "Bacterial large subunit ribosomal RNA", at positions 3 to 2010 of the family's 2925-position model. The record is from RNAcentral.
UCAAGCGAGAGAGGGUUUACGGUGGAUGCCUUGGCGUAUUGAGGCGAAGAAGGCCGUGGCAAGCUGCGAAAAGCCGUGGGGAGGAGCACACAUCCUGAGAUCCGCGGAUAGCCGAAUGGGGUAACCCGGCGGGCGCGAGUCCGUCAUCCUGCCGCUGAAUACAUAGGCGGAGGAAGCGAUACUGGGGGAACUGAACCAUCUAAGUACCCCGGGAACAGAAAAUAACAAUGAUUCCGGAAGUAGCGGCGAGCGAAACUGGAGGAGCCUAAACCGCUCGAAAGAGCGGGGUUGUAGGGCCGCUGUCGCGUUAAACGCGGCGGAGUUGAGAGAAAACUGCGGUAUAGCGGAAAGGUUUUGGGAAAGCCUGACAAAGAGGGUGAAAUCCCCGUACGCGACAUAACGCGGACUCCGUGAGGCGGUACCUGAGUACGGCGGGGCACGAGAAACCCUGUCGGAAUCUGGGUCGACCACGAUCCAAGGCUAAAUACGAGAUACGACCGAUAGAGCAGAAGUACCGUGAGGGAAAGGCGAAAAGAACCCCGGCGAGGGGAGUGAAAUAGAACCUGAAACCGUAAACCCACAACAGGUCAGAGCCGGAAGCGAUUCUGGUGAUGGCGUGCCUUUUGUAGAAUGAGCCUGCGAGUUACGAUAGCGAGCGAGGUUAAGGAAUGGAAGUUCCGGAGCCGGAGGGAAACCGAGUGUUAAGAGCGCGGAUAAUAGUUCGUUGUCGUAGACCCGAAGCCAAGUGAUCUAGUUACGGGCAGGCUGAAGCUCAGGUAAAACUGAGUGGAGGGCCGAACCCUAGUGUGUUAAAAAAUACAGGGAUGACCCGUGACUCGGAGCGAAAGACUAAACAAACUUGGAAAUAGCUGGUUCUCCCCGAAAUGCCUUGAGGGACAGCCUUAUCAAAAUCAUGCGCAGGUAGAGCACUGGAUGGACUAGGGGGCUUCACCGCCUACCAAACCCAAUCAAACUCCGAAUGGCGCAAGACAACUGAUAGGAGUGAGACUGCGGGCGACAAGGUUCGUAGUCGAGAGGGAAACAGCCCAGACCGUCGGCUAAGGUCCCGAAUGUAUGCUAAGUGUGAAAUGAUGUGCCAUGGCGCAGACAGCCAGGAGGUUGGCUUAGAAGCAGCCAUUCCUUAAAAGAGUGCGUAAUAGCUCACUGGUCGAGUCAUGACGCGCAGACAAUGUAACGGGGCUAAGCAUACAACCGAAGCCACGGGUUCGUUCAGCGAUGGACGGACGGUAGGGGAGCAUUCCACGGACUGAUGAAGGCAUAUUGUAAAGUAUGCUGGAGGGGGUGGAAGAGAGAAUGCAGGUAUAAGUAGACGAAAAGAGGGGUGAGAUUCCCCUCCGCCGAAAGCCUAAGGAUUCCUGGGUAAAGGUCAUCUGCCCAGGGUAAGUCGGCCCCUAAGGCGAGGACGAAAGUCGUAGUCGAUGGGAAACUGGUUCAGAUUCCAGUACCUUGUACAGUUUUGAGGGGAUGACGCAUGAGGUGAAACCCGGCCGGGCGACGGUAGUCCCGGUCUAAGUCGCGAGUUAUUCUUCGGAUAGGCAAAUCCGUCUGGAGAGAUGAGCGGCGAGCGCGAGUGGAGCUACGGCGAAGCGAAGCGGGCGUAAUCAUGGUGCCAAGAAAUAAUCUCUAAAGUUAGGCUGUAUGAGACCGUACCGUAAACCGACACAGGUAGGCGGGAUGAGCAAUCUAAGGCGCUCGAGAGAACUCGCGUUAAGGAACUCGGCAAAAUGCGCACGUAACUUCGGGAGAAGUGCGGCCGUUGGUGGUUUAGCGAUAGGUUACCGACGGCGACACAAAGCAGUCCCAGGCGACUGUUUAUCAAAAACACAGGCCUCUGCAAAUCAGCAAUGAGACGUAUAGGGGCUGACACCUGCCCGGUGCCGGAAGGUUAAGGGGAGCGGUUAGGCGCAAGCCGAAGCUGUGAACCGAAGCCCCGGUAAACGGCGGCCGUAACUAUAACGGUCCUAAGGUAGCGAAAUUCCUUGUCGGGUAAGUUCCGACCCGCACGAAAGGUGUAACGAUCU